GGAAUAUUGGUCAAUGGGCGCGAGCCUGAACCAGCCAAGUAGCGUGCAGGACGACGGCCCUAUGGGUUGUAAACUGCUUUUAUGCGGGGAUAAAGUGCGGCACGUGUGCCGUUUUGUAGGUACCGCAUGAAUAAGGACCGGCUAAUUCCGUGCCAGCAGCCGCGGUAAUACGGAAGGUCCGGGCGUUAUCCGGAUUUAUUGGGUUUAAAGGGAGCGCAGGCCGGAGGUCAAGCGUGACGUGAAAUGUAGCCGCUCAACGGCUGAGUUGCGUCGCGAACUGGUUUCCUUGAGUGAGUACGACGUCAGCGGAAUUCGUGGUGUAGCGGUGAAAUGCUUAGAUAUCACGAAGAACCCCGAUUGCGAAGGCAGCUGACGAGUCCUUUACUGACGCUAAAGCUCGAAGGUGCGGGUAUCGAACA
This 419-nucleotide ribosomal RNA is filed under the name uncultured Prevotella sp. Its description in RNAcentral is "bacterial SSU rRNA". It matches the Rfam family "Bacterial small subunit ribosomal RNA", at positions 358 to 774 of the family's 1533-position model. Lineage: Bacteria; Pseudomonadati; Bacteroidota; Bacteroidia; Bacteroidales; Prevotellaceae. The record is from RNAcentral.